This 172-nucleotide ribosomal RNA is filed under the name uncultured Sphingomonas sp. RNAcentral describes it as "partial 16S ribosomal RNA". It matches the Rfam family "Bacterial small subunit ribosomal RNA", at positions 335 to 524 of the family's 1533-position model. The record is from RNAcentral. Lineage: Bacteria; Pseudomonadati; Pseudomonadota; Alphaproteobacteria; Sphingomonadales; Sphingomonadaceae.
ACUCCUACGGGAGGCAGCAGUGGGGAAUAUUGGACAAUGGGCGAAAGCCUGAUCCAACAAUGCCGCGUGAGUGAUGAAGGCCUUAGGGUUGUAAAGCUCUUUUACCCGGGAUGAUAAUGACAGUACCGGGAGAAUAAGCCCCGGCUAACUCCGUGCCAGCAGCCGCGGUAAU